AGGAGAAGAAGUGUUCCUGUUAACUAACAAUGAGAAUAUAUAUCGGUAUAACACAAAGACCAAAGAGACAAAGAAAAUUGCGAAGCAAGCUUUAUUCAUGGCAUGUGAUUAUGAAAGAAAUUUAUUAUACUACGUACAACAAAAAAAAAAAUGAUAUGUCUACCAAAUUCAUCCGCAUGGUUCAGGGCAGUGAUGAUAUAAAAACCAUAUUGGGUAAUGAUAAAGUUGACCCCACAGUUGUAUCUAUUAGCGUCGACCAAGAAACUGGAAACGUCUACUAUGGUUCAUCAAAAGGAAUUGAAUUUCUUUCUUACACACAGAAUUAUAGAAAGACCAUUACUUUUACUUAUAGGCAAACUGAUAAUUAUCCUGUAUUUUAUAUAGGAUUCCAUGGCAAAGGGUCCAGUAAAAGAGUGUACUUGUCUACAUUGUAUAAUUUGUAUAGGUCAGAAAUUAAUACCACCGAUCUUAUAAAUCUUAGAGGGGAGUGUCAAUAUUUUAGUAUUUUUGAUAAUGGUAUGGUGUGUGAUUCACUUAAGGGGUUGUAUCUAGCAAAUCUGGAUGGCGUGAAGAUUGAAUCGCUGCCGAAUAUUGCAAUCACACCAUCUAUACUAGGAGAUAUUGAAUCCACGUGUGUUGUACAAGAUCCUGUAAUAGCUUAUGGAAAUUUGUAUAUCCUCUGUUAUAAGCAGGUUUUAAAAUUGGAUUUAAAAACCGGUAUCCUUAAUCAUUUGAUUCCUACGAUGCCAAUUCCUACGAUGCCAAAAAUGCAUUUCUGUGUGUCCAUUGACCCACCAGAACGAUGCACCGACAGUAACCAUACUUCCGGUUUCUACAGCUGAGAUGGUAGUUGCAGCUGUAGUUAUUGGUAUUGUCCUGAGUGUAAUCCUAACAGUCACCAUUCUAAAAUAUAAAAAGAAAAGCGAACAACCAUCCAGUUCACGUGAAUGUAAUGUGUAUACCACGAUGCAUUCAAGAUCUAACUACCAUCAGAGUGAAGAACCGGGAUAUUCAUGUAGCUAUGACAACAGACAAAAAGAUUGCAAUGUGCAUACGGCAAUGCCAUCUACCGAAUAACUGGAAGUACAUUAGCAUCUUGAGUUUUGAACACCUCUGAACGCUUUUAAGUAGGCACGGUUGGCGUUUUUGUCUUUGGAAUUUUGCUACAUAAAACAAAAUUUAAAUUAUUUGAAACAGGUUACUCCGUUUUAAUAAUAGUUUUCUCGACAUUUUGACAGAUUGAACAUAUAUAGUGGGGGUUGGAUGGCCGAAUGGUUAGCGCGUGGGCUUUGUAUGAUAAGGUCCGUCAGGUUUCGUUUUCCCGGUUGUACAUGGCAAGGAGUAGGGUUGCCUGUACAACCACGUGAGUUUUCUCCGGGUCCUCCGGUUUCCUCCCACGGAUAAAGCGAAUUAUUGAAAUAAAAUUGAAUCAUAUGUUAGUCCCGACAUUACCUAUUUGCACAUGAAGCAG
This is a long non-coding RNA of Patella vulgata (common limpet), 1471 nucleotides long. RefSeq lists it as uncharacterized. Lineage: Eukaryota; Metazoa; Mollusca; Gastropoda; Patellidae. The record is from RefSeq and is a predicted model, not a curated record. The transcript has 7 exons.